Molecule: ribosomal RNA, 2234 nt
Filed under: Salmonella enterica
Lineage: Bacteria; Pseudomonadati; Pseudomonadota; Gammaproteobacteria; Enterobacterales; Enterobacteriaceae
Description: bacterial LSU rRNA
Rfam family: Bacterial large subunit ribosomal RNA
Source: RNAcentral
UGACUGCGUACCUUUUGUAUAAUGGGUCAGCGACUUAUAUUCUGUAGCAAGGUUAACCGAAUAGGGGAGCCGGAGGGAAACCGAGUCUUAAUUGGGCGUUAAGUUGCAGGGUAUAGACCCGAAACCCGGUGAUCUAGCCAUGGGCAGGUUGAAGGUUGGGUAACACUAACUGGAGGACCGAACCGACUAAUGUUGAAAAAUUAGCGGAUGACCUGUGGCUGGGGGUGAAAGGCCAAUCAAACCGGGAGAUAGCUGGUUCUCCCCGAAAGCUAUUUAGGUAGCGCCUCGUGAAUUCAUCUCCGGGGGUAGAGCACUGUUUCGGCUAGGGGGCCAUCCCGGCUUACCAACCCGAUGCAAACUGCGAAUACCGGAGAAUGUUAUCACGGGAGACACACGGCGGGUGCUAACGUCCGUCGUGAAGAGGGAAACAACCCAGACCGCCAGCUAAGGUCCCAAAGUCAUGGUUAAGUGGGAAACGAUGUGGGAAGGCCCAGACAGCCAGGAUGUUGGCUUAGAAGCAGCCAUCAUUUAAAGAAAGCGUAAUAGCUCACUGGUCGAGUCGGCCUGCGCGGAAGAUGUAACGGGGCUAAACCAUGCACCGAAGCUGCGGCAGCGACACUGUGUGUUGUUGGGUAGGGGAGCGUUCUGUAAGCCUGUGAAGGUGUGUCGUGAGGCAUGCUGGAGGUAUCAGAAGUGCGAAUGCUGACAUAAGUAACGAUAAAGCGGGUGAAAAGCCCGCUCGCCGGAAGACCAAGGGUUCCUGUCCAACGUUAAUCGGGGCAGGGUGAGUCGACCCCUAAGGCGAGGCCGAAAGGCGUAGUCGAUGGGAAACGGGUUAAUAUUCCCGUACUUGGUGUUACUGCGAAGGGGGGACGGAGAAGGCUAUGUUGGCCGGGCGACGGUUGUCCCGGUUUAAGUGUGUAGGUGUGUGUUCCAGGUAAAUCCGGUUCACUUUAACACUGAGGCGUGACGACGAGGCACUACGGUGCUGAAGCAACAAAUGCCCUGCUUCCAGGAAAAGCCUCUAAGCAUCAGGUAACAUCAAAUCGUACCCCAAACCGACACAGGUGGUCAGGUAGAGAAUACCAAGGCGCUUGAGAGAACUCGGGUGAAGGAACUAGGCAAAAUGGUGCCGUAACUUCGGGAGAAGGCACGCUGACACGUAGGUGAAGUGAUUUACUCAUGGAGCUGAAGUCAGUCGAAGAUACCAGCUGGCUGCAACUGUUUAUUAAAAACACAGCACUGUGCAAACACGAAAGUGGACGUAUACGGUGUGACGCCUGCCCGGUGCCGGAAGGUUAAUUGAUGGGGUCAGCGCAAGCGAAGCUCCUGAUCGAAGCCCCGGUAAACGGCGGCCGUAACUAUAACGGUCCUAAGGUAGCGAAAUUCCUUGUCGGGUAAGUUCCGACCUGCACGAAUGGCGUAAUGAUGGCCAGGCUGUCUCCACCCGAGACUCAGUGAAAUUGAACUCGCUGUGAAGAUGCAGUGUACCCGCGGCAAGACGGAAAGACCCCGUGAACCUUUACUAUAGCUUGACACUGAACAUUGAGCCUUGAUGUGUAGGAUAGGUGGGAGGCUUUGAAGUGUGGACGCCAGUCUGCAUGGAGCCGACCUUGAAAUACCACCCUUUAAUGUUUGAUGUUCUAACGUGGACCCGUUACCCGGGUUGCGGACAGUGUCUGGUGGGUAGUUUGACUGGGGCGGUCUCCUCCUAAAGAGUAACGGAGGAGCACGAAGGUUGGCUAAUCCUGGUCGGACAUCAGGAGGUUAGUGCAAUGGCAUAAGCCAGCUUGACUGCGAGCGUGACGGCGCGAGCAGGUGCGAAAGCAGGUCAUAGUGAUCCGGUGGUUCUGAAUGGAAGGGCCAUCGCUCAACGGAUAAAAGGUACUCCGGGGAUAACAGGCUGAUACCGCCCAAGAGUUCAUAUCGACGGCGGUGUUUGGCACCUCGAUGUCGGCUCAUCACAUCCUGGGGCUGAAGUAGGUCCCAAGGGUAUGGCUGUUCGCCAUUUAAAGUGGUACGCGAGCUGGGUUUAGAACGUCGUGAGACAGUUCGGUCCCUAUCUGCCGUGGGCGCUGGAGAACUGAGGGGGGCUGCUCCUAGUACGAGAGGACCGGAGUGGACGCAUCACUGGUGUUCGGGUUGUCAUGCCAAUGGCACUGCCCGGUAGCUAAAUGCGGAAGAGAUAAGUGCUGAAAGCAUCUAAGCACGAAACUUGCCCCGAGAUGAGUUCU